CACCGCGGUUAUACGAGAGGCCCGAGUUGACUAACCCUCGGCGUAAAGGGUGGUUUAAUAUAUAUAAUACUAAAGUUGAACCCUCUCAAAACUGUUAUACGUUCUCGAGAGAGAGAAGACCUGAAACGAAAGUAGCUUUAACACCUUUGACUCCACGAAAGCUGAGAAA
This 169-nucleotide ribosomal RNA is filed under the name Enneapterygius tutuilae (high-hat triplefin). RNAcentral describes it as "partial 12S ribosomal RNA". Lineage: Eukaryota; Metazoa; Chordata; Actinopteri; Blenniiformes; Tripterygiidae. The record is from RNAcentral.